This 497-nucleotide ribosomal RNA is filed under the name uncultured bacterium. RNAcentral's name for it is "partial 16S ribosomal RNA". It matches the Rfam family "Bacterial small subunit ribosomal RNA", at positions 28 to 507 of the family's 1533-position model. The record is from RNAcentral.
GAUGAACGCUGGCGGCGUGCCUAAUACAUGCAAGUCGAGCGAGCGGACGAGAAGCUUGCUUCUCUGAUGUUAGCGGCGGACGGGUGAGUAACACGUGGAUAACCUACCUAUAAGACUGGGAUAACUUCGGGAAACCGGAGCUAAUACCGGAUGAUAUUUUGAACCGCAUGGUUCAAAAGUGAAAGACGGUCUUGCUGUCACUUAUAGAUGGAUCCGCGCUGCAUUAGCUAGUUGGUAAGGUAACGGCUUACCAAGGCAACGAUGCAUAGCCGACCUGAGAGGGUGAUCGGCCACACUGGAACUGAGACACGGUCCAGACUCCUACGGGAGGCAGCAGUAGGGAAUCUUCCGCAAUGGGCGAAAGCCUGACGGAGCAACGCCGCGUGAGUGAUGAAGGUCUUCGGAUCGUAAAACUCUGUUAUUAGGGAAGAACAUAUGUGUAAGUAACUGUGCACAUCUUGACGGUACCUAAUCAGAAAGCCACGGCUAACUACGUG